AUUGAACGCUGGCGGCAUGCCUUACACAUGCAAGUCGAACGGUAACGGGCCUUCGGGUGCCGACGAGUGGCGAACGGGUGAGUAAUGCAUCGGAACGUACCUUUCAGUGGGGGAUAACGUAGCGAAAGUUACGCUAAUACCGCAUAUUCUGUGAGCAGGAAAGCAGGGGAUCGCAAGACCUUGCGCUGAUUGAGCGGCCGAUGUCAGAUUAGCUAGUUGGUGAGGUAAAGGCUCACCAAGGCGACGAUCUGUAGCGGGUCUGAGAGGAUGAUCCGCCACACUGGAACUGAGACACGGUCCAGACUCCUACGGGAGGCAGCAGUGGGGAAUUUUGGACAAUGGGGGGCAACCCUGAUCCAGCCAUGCCGCGUGAGUGAAGAAGGCCUUCGGUUGUAAAGGUCUCUUUCGGUCCGGGAAGAAAGUACGUAAUGGGCGUAAUACCCUGUGCGGAUGACGGUACCGGC
RNAcentral lists this ribosomal RNA (464 nucleotides) under uncultured bacterium. RNAcentral describes it as "bacterial SSU rRNA". It matches the Rfam family "Bacterial small subunit ribosomal RNA", at positions 30 to 482 of the family's 1533-position model. The record is from RNAcentral.